CCCCCGCCGCAAGUGGAUAAUAUUAAUAGUGUAAAAAUAUGCAAGUGUUCGGUAAACAGGAAGUUGUCGAGUGAUGAAUCUGAAAACGCAUCACACGGUAUAGCUGACUUAUAAAAAUCCUGAAACCAAAUUUCAGAAAUCCUUGUAUUGUAGUUCCUGAGAAAAAUGUGACGAAAAUUUUUAACUUGGUUAUCAUGUGUAGAAUCAUACAAGUGUUCGGUAAACAGGAAGUAGUCGAGUGAUGAAUCUGAAAACGCA
RNAcentral lists this long non-coding RNA (258 nucleotides) under Mytilus galloprovincialis (Mediterranean mussel). Lineage: Eukaryota; Metazoa; Mollusca; Bivalvia; Mytilida; Mytilidae. The record is from RNAcentral.